RNAcentral lists this unclassified non-coding RNA (277 nucleotides) under Anelosimus eximius. RNAcentral's name for it is "partial contains tRNA-Leu and 16S ribosomal RNA". The stretch from base 1 to 152 matches the Rfam family "Bacterial large subunit ribosomal RNA", at positions 2491 to 2642 of the family's 2925-position model. Lineage: Eukaryota; Metazoa; Arthropoda; Arachnida; Araneae; Theridiidae. The record is from RNAcentral.
UUUAAAAGUUCAUAUUAAAAAAAAWGAUUGUGACCYCGAUGUUGAAUUAUAUUUUCUUUNUUAAUGCAAUAAUUAUAAAAGUAGAUCUGUNCGAUCUUUAAAAUAUWACAUGAUUUGAGUUCAAACCGGUAUAAACCAGGUUGGUUUCUAUCUUUUUAUAAAUAUAUAUAUAUAUAUAUAUAUAUAUAAAUUUUUCAAGUACGAAAGGAAAAAAAAAUUUUUAUUUUAAUUAAUUAGCAAUUAAUAUGCAUUAGAUUUAGAAUCUAAAUAAACUAUU